Molecule: non-coding RNA, 1022 nt
Organism: Cinara cedri
Lineage: Eukaryota; Metazoa; Arthropoda; Insecta; Hemiptera; Aphididae
Source: the annotation of a GenBank genome assembly
UUGUUUUGUAAUAUUAUACUACUUAAUAUUAUAUAUUCAAUAUGUCAAGUUCGACUGAUAUUUCAAAAAUUACAAGACUUUAGUUUUUAUAUCAAAUUUAAAUGAAAACUGCAAAAAAAAUUUAGGGCACUUCAAAUUAUAUAUUACCGAACUGCGCUCGGAAUCGUCUUUCGUCAAGUAAUGGUUUAUCGUUGCUUACAGAUAAAAAUAAAAUAACCUUAUGUAUCCUACUUUCCUAACUUCUCACCUACAACAGUGGCCGCUCCCAUCACCAGUAUCAGCUCUUUUUUUAAAAUGUAUUAUUUAUAUUAAUUUAUUAUAUUUAUUUGAAUAUUAACCUGUAUUCUACAGCCUUAGAUUCGUAGAUAGAUUAAUAUAUCGUCUUGUAGAAUACAGUCUUAUAUCUUAUUAUAUAUUUGUUUAUUAAUCUGUAUUUUAUAGCCUAUUAUAUCUAUAUAAUAACAACAUUUUGUAUUCUUUUAUACGGAAAAAAUUUAAAUUCAUAAUAAUAAUAAUAAGAAAAUUUUGGUUUUCGUACAUAAUACGUGAGCCGCAUGUUGGGCACCCCUGUUGUUUAUACGUUGUCGUUGUCUGAGAGUCUACAGCUAGUGGUGAACGACGUACGGGGGAUUUAAAGGACAGUCGCAACUGCACGUACAGCGACCGAAUAUAAUCGUUUAUUGCCACGCCGUCGGACAGACAGAGAAACUAAUAAUAAUGUGCGACAAAGACGACCAAGAAAUUCCAGGGUCGUAGCACACAACAGGUCUUCGGCCAUUAACGAUCCUAAAGAUGUACUCAUGCGCGUGCGUACACAGUUUCGACAAAACAUUGUGUAGUAAUGUUAUGGAAUUUCGGAUUCGUACCUAUAUCAACUCUAUAUAUAAAAAUGGACACCUAUUUUCCUUGGUCAUGCCAUCAUUUGAAAAUAACUAGAGCGAUUUUAACGCAGUUUUUUGCAAAAUAUUCCGCAUUUUCCGGGAAAGCUAUUUAAAUACAUCCCAUAUAGAAUACAAUCCCCC